GAUGAACGCUGGCGGCGUGCCUAAUACAUGCAAGUCGAACGAAACUUCUUUAUCACCGAGUGCUUGCACUCACCGAUAAAGAGUUGAGUGGCGAACGGGUGAGUAACACGUGGGCAACCUGCCUAAAAGAGGGGGAUAACACUUGGAAACAGGUGCUAAUACCGCAUAACCAUAGUUACCGCAGGGUAACUAUGUAAAAGGUGGCUAUACUACCGCUUUUGGAUGGGCCCGCGGCGCAUUAGCUAGUUGGUAGGGUAAAGGCUUACCAAGGCAAUGAUGCGUAGCCGAAUUGAGAGGUUGAUCGGCCACAUUGGGACUGAGACACGGCCCAAACUCCUACGGGAGGCAGCAGUAGGGAAUCUUCCACAAUGGGCGAAAGCCUGAUGGAGCAACGCCGCGUGGGUGAAGAAGGUCUUCGGAUCGUAAAACCCUGUUGUUAGAGAAGAAAGUGCGUGAGAGUAACUGUUCACGUUUCGACGGUAUCUAACCAGAAAGCCACGGCUAACUACGUG
Molecule: ribosomal RNA, 512 nt
Filed under: uncultured bacterium
Lineage: Bacteria
Description: partial 16S ribosomal RNA
Rfam family: Bacterial small subunit ribosomal RNA
Source: RNAcentral